This 4004-nucleotide long non-coding RNA is filed under the name Homo sapiens (human). RNAcentral's name for it is "PREDICTED lncRNA (TCONS_00139395)". The record is from RNAcentral. Lineage: Eukaryota; Metazoa; Chordata; Mammalia; Primates; Hominidae.
UGAGAAUCUCGCGGGCUGAAUGUCGCAUGAGGUCCCCUCCGCCCGUGGGGACUGGCUGCUGCCGUCGCAGCUGUCAUGGUGGAAUCAGGAAUACAUAGUCCCUAGUGGCAUUAACAGAACAAGAACCAUACAAAUUAAAGCUCAUAGAAACACAAAGGGAAGACAGAACCUCAGAGAACAAUGCCAACCAUGACAGUCUGAAAUAGAUGCUUGGGCCACACAUGAAGGCUAGAAGGAAAAUCCAAACUGUACGUGGAUCUUUGAUGCGGAGCUUGUGGAGACAACUGUGGAAACCAACACAUCUCUUUGAGAAUGGAAGUCAAGCAGCUCAGGGUGUUUUCAGGAUACUUUUGAUUGGCAGAGAAAAUAACCAGGAAAAUGAGCAGGAAGCAGGCUGUCUCCCUGUAUGGUGGGGUUCCAAUACCUGACUAAUGUCUUCUUCACUUCUGCCUGGCAAAUCUCAUGCAAGUGAGGCUAUAAGUGAAUUUCAACAUGGAUCUAUAAAGGGAACAGAUUCUAGGAAAUUUACCUGUGUCGACAGGUAGCAGGAGGGCCACGUCCAGCUCUAGAUUUUAUUGUCCUAUCACAGGUGUCCUUCCUGAAUUCAAACUCUACUAUUCAAAUCCCAGACAGAAUUAUAAAAAAAAGGCGAAAAUAAUAAUUCGCAUAAGAAUAUAUGAUAAACUUCACAUACUUACCAACUUAUGCCAGAUGUUUAAUAAAAAGGAAAAUGGAAUAAGGCUCUUCUAGCUGAAAUUCAUUUUAUUUAUUUAUUUAUUUGAGAUGGAGUCUCGUUCUGCUGCCCAGGCUGGAUUGCAGUGGCACGAUCUCGGCUCACUGCAAGCUCCGCCUCCCGGGUUCACACCAUUCUCCUGCCUCAGACUCCUGAGUAGCUGGGACUACAGACGCCCGCCACCAUGCCCAGCUAAUUUUUUGUAUUUAUAGUAGAGACGGGGUUUCACUGUAUUAGCCAGGAUGGUCUCAAUCUCCUGACUUCGUGAUCCGCCCACCUCGGCCUCCCAAAGUGCUGGGAUUACAGGUGUGAGCCACUGCGCCCGGCAAGAAAUUUAUUAUAUUUUAAUUUAAUUUUUUUGAUAUGGAGUCUCGUUCUGUUGUCCAGGCUGGAGUGCAGUGGUGUGAUCUUGGCUCACUGCAACCUCUGACUUCCAGGUUCAAGCAUUUCUCCUGCCUCAGCCUCCCAAGUAGCUGAGAUUACAGGUGCCCUCCAACAUGCCCAGCUAAUUUUUGUAUUUUUAGUAGAGAUGGGAUUUCACCAUGUUGGCCAGGUUGGUCUCGAACUCCUGACCUCAAGUGAUCUGCUUGCCUUGGUUUCCCAAAGUGCUGGAAUUACAAAGGAGUGAGCCACCGUGUCUGGCCAAGAAAUUUAAAAAGCAGUUUUUCGGAAAAGGUGAAAUAAAUAUAUAAUGGGUAAUAUAUGCACCACCUUCCACAUGAGGCCAGUAGGAAAAAUCCUAGUUACAGUGUGUCAGUAUUCAACAAUCUCUUUAUUCAGAGAACAACUGAAAAACUAUACACAAAUUAAAACUAAUUGUAUAUUAAAAAUACACUUCUACUAACACUGGUCUUUAAAAGAAAAAAAAAAUACACUUCAGGCCGGGUGCGGUGGCUCAAGCUUGUAAUCCCAGCACUUUGGGAGGCUGAGGCGGUCGAAUCACGAGGUCAGGAGAUUGAGACCAUCCUGGCUUAACACGGUGAAACCCCAUCUCUACUAAAAAUACAAAAAAAAUUAGCUGGGCAUGGUGGCGGGCGCCUGCAGUCCCAGCUACUGGGGAGGCUGAGGCAGGAGAAUGGCGUGGACCCGGGAGGCGGAGCUUGCAGUGAGCCGAGAUCACACCGCUGAACUCCAGCCUGGGCAACAGAGCAAGACUCCGUCUCGAAAAAAAAAAAAUACACUUCAGUUUACUCAUGAAUCAAGACAUCAAGAGAAAGAGAAAAGUUUUACUAACUGAUUUAAUGAGAAAACACAACCUUUUAAACUUUUGACCACUGCUUAAAGAGUACUUACAGAAUUAUCUCACUUCCAAGACUUCUUGGAAAAGUAGUUAAGUUACAAUUCAUAGUCCAGAGAUGUACUUGAAGAAUGAGCCAGUGAUAAAAAAUUUUUAACUUUUUUUUGGUGUGUGGGAUGGAGUCUUGCUCUGUUGCCCAGGCUGGAGUGUAGUGGCACAAUCUCAGCUCACUGCAGCCUCCACCUCCCAGGUUCAAAUGAUUCUCCUGCUUCAGCCUCCCAAGUAGCUGGAAUUACAGGUGCAUGCCACCACGCUCAGGUAAUUUUUGUAUUUUUAGUAGAGAUGGGGUUUCACCGUCUUGGCCAGGCUGGUCUCGAACUCCUGACCUCAGGUGAUCUGCCUGCCUUGGCCUCCCAAAGUGCUGGGAUUACAGGCAUGAGCCACCAUGCCUUGCCUUAACUUUUAUAUCGUGUGUGAUGAAUUUAUAUCAUGGUGUGAAUUUUCUGGAGCAUUUUACAGGCAGAGAUUGCUUAAUCAUGGGUAUAUGUUCUGAGAAACGUGUUGUAGGUGAUUUCCUCAUGGUACAAACAUCACAAAGUGAACUUACACAAAUCUAGAUGGUAUAGCUACAACACAUCUAGACUAUAUGGUACAGUCUAUUGCUACUAGGCUAUAAACCAUACAACAUGUUGUUGUACUGAACACUGUAGGAAAUUGUAACAAAAUGUUAAGUAUUUAUGAGUCUAAACACAGAAAAUACACAGAGUAAACAUGCAGUAUAAAAGAUAAAAAAGGAUGCACCUGCAUAGGACACUCCAUGAACAUAGCUUGCAGGACUAGAAGUUGCUCUGGGUGAGUCAGUUGAGUGGUGAGUGAAUGCGAAGGCCCAGGAUGUUACUGUACACUAAUGGAGAAUUUAUAAACACUGUACACUUGGACUACACUACAUUCAUAAAAACAUUUUUUCCUCAAUAAUGAAUAAACCUUAACUUACUGUACAUUAUUUUCUUUAUAAACUUAUUUUUAAAAACUUUGUAAUAAUUUAGCUUAAAACACAUUGUACAGCUGUACAAAAAUAUUUUAUGUCCAUAUUCUAUAAGCUUUUUCUAUUAAAUUUUUUUAAACUAUUUUUGUUAAAGACUAACUAAGACACAAACACACAUUAGUGUAGGACUACACGGGGUGAGGAUCAUCAAUAUCAUUGUCUUCUGCCUCCAUGUUUUGUCCCGCCAGAAUACGUUCAGGGGCAGUCCUGCACAUGGAGCCGUCAUCGCCUAUCAUAACAAAGUUUUUCCGGGAAUAUCUCCUUAAGGACCUGCCUGAGACUGUCUUACUGUUAAAAAAACACAGGAAUACAUUCUAAAACAGGAUUGUAAAUAUAUAAACCAGUAACUUAGCCAUUUAUUAUCAAGUAUAUAUUGCACAUCUGUGCUGUAAUUUUUUUUUUUUCGAGACGGAGUCUCGCUCUGUCACCCAGGCUGGAGUGUAGUGGUAGAUCUCAGCUCACUGCAAUCUCCACCUCCCGGGUUCAAGCGAUUCUCCUGCUUUGGCCUCCCAAGUAGCUGGGACUACAGGCACACCAGAACGCCCAGCUAAUUUUCGUAUUUCUAAUGGAGACAGGGUUUCAUCAUGUUGACCAGGCUGGUCUUGAACUCCUGACCUCAACUGAUUCUCCCACCUCAGCCUCCCAAAGUGCUGGGAUUACAGGUAUGAGCCACUGUGCCCAGCCAAUUUUUUUUUUUUUUUUUUGAUACAGUCUCACUGUCACCCAUGCUGGACUGCCAUCACGUGAUCUUGGUUCACUGUAGCCUUGAACUCCUGGGCUCAGGCAAUCCUCCUGCCUCAGCCUCCCAUGUAGAUGGGACUACAGGGUGUGCUACCACACUUAGAAAAUGUUUUUAUUUUUUGUAGAGACAGGGUCUCACUAGGUUGACCAGAGUAGUCCUGGCAUCAAGCAAUCCUACUGCCUUAGUCUCCCAGUGUUGGGAUCACAGGUGUGACCAUGCCCAGCUGUGUUGUACUUUUUUUUUUUUU